This 455-nucleotide ribosomal RNA is filed under the name Cinctura hunteria. RNAcentral describes it as "partial 16S ribosomal RNA". It matches the Rfam family "Bacterial large subunit ribosomal RNA", at positions 1849 to 2571 of the family's 2925-position model. The record is from RNAcentral. Lineage: Eukaryota; Metazoa; Mollusca; Gastropoda; Neogastropoda; Fasciolariidae.
GGAGUCGGACCUGCCCAGUGAGGAUUUCAACGGCCGCGGUAUUCUGACCGUGCAAAGGUAGCAUAAUCAUUUGCCUUAUAAUUGAAGGCUGGAAUGAAUGGUUUAACAAGAAUAUAACUGUCUCUUUAUGAUUUUAUAGAAUUUUAUAUUUAGGUGAAGAAGCCUAAUUAUAAUUAAAAGACAAGAAGACCCUAUCGAGCUUAAAAAAAAUCAGUAGGCUACACAGUAAUAUAACUAAAAACCCUUCUACUGAAAAUUUUAGUUGGGGCAACUGAGGAACAAAGCUUCCUUGAAAAAUUUAAAUUUUCACAGAAAAUGAUCCAAAAUUUUUGAUUAAGGAAAUUAGUUACCGUAGGGAUAACAGCAUAAUCCUUUUUUAGAGUUCUAAUCGAAAAAGGGGUUUGUGACCUCGAUGUUGGAUCAGAAUAUCCUAAAGAUGCAGUAGUCUUUAAGGG